This 988-nucleotide small RNA is filed under the name Vigna angularis var. angularis. RNAcentral's name for it is "Non-protein coding transcript". The record is from RNAcentral. Lineage: Eukaryota; Viridiplantae; Streptophyta; Magnoliopsida; Fabales; Fabaceae.
UAUACAUUAAACACUGUUUUAUUGUUCCUGUCUUUAACUUUUGUUGGAGAUACUUUGUGUUUGAGUUGCAGGUUAAUUGAAAUGGCAGUGGAAUAUGAAGUUGAGCAUCCAAGGAAGGCUUAUGGAUGGGCAGCUAGGGAUACAUCUGGUCUUCUCUCCCCAUUUUUCUUCUCCAGAAGAAAAACAGGAGAAAAGGAUGUGACAUUCAAGGUGUUGUAUUGUGGAUUAUGUCAUUCCGACCUUCACAAGUUGAAGAAUGAAUGGAAUGAUUCAAUUUAUCCACUUGUUCCUGGGCGUGAGAUUGUUGGAGAAGUAACAGAGGUGGGAAACAAAGUAGAAAAGUUUAAGAUUGGAGACAAGGUGGCAGUGGGAUGUUUGGUUGGGUCUUGUUCCUCAUGCCAAAAUUGUGUCAACAAUCUUGAGAAUUACUGCCAACAAGCGAUUCACACAUAUGGUUCCAAGUAUGUGGAUGACAGCAUCACAUAUGGGGGUUUCUCUGACUUCAUGGUUGUAGAUGAGCACUUUGUUGUCAACAUUCCAAAUGGCCUACCUCUUGAUGUUGCUGCACCUCUCCUUUGCGCAGGGAUCACAGUUUAUGCACCUUUGAGAUAUUUUGGCCUUGACAAACCUGGUAUGCACCUCGGAGUGGUUGGUCUUGGUGGAUUAGGCCAUCUAGCUGUGAAGUUUGCAAAAGCCCUUGGCUUGAAAGUUACUGUCAUUAGUACCUCUCCUAGUAAGGAACAAGAAGCCAUUCAACAUCUCGGAGCAGAUUACUUUGUGCUAAGUAGAGACCAAGAUCAAAUGAAGGCUGCAAAUUGUACCUUGGAUGGUAUAAUCGACACUGUUUUUGCGGUUCAUCCUCUAAUGCCUUUGAUUGAUCUUUUGAAGUCUCAUGGAAAGCUAGUGACGGUUGGAGCACCAGAGAAGCCUCUCGAAUUGUUACUUCCAUCUUUAAUUUUGGGGAGAAAAAGUAUAGCGGGUAGUUACU